RNAcentral lists this ribosomal RNA (22 nucleotides) under Escherichia coli. RNAcentral's name for it is "23S ribosomal RNA from Escherichia coli (PDB 3J0D, chain B)". The record is from RNAcentral. Lineage: Bacteria; Pseudomonadati; Pseudomonadota; Gammaproteobacteria; Enterobacterales; Enterobacteriaceae.
CGGCCGUAACUAUAACGGUCCU